CCUACGGGAGGCAGCAGUGAGGAAUAUUGGUCAAUGGACGAGAGUCUGAACCAGCCAAGUAGCGUGAAGGAUGAAUGCCCUAUGGGUUGUAAACUUCUUUUAUAUGGGAAUAAAAUGUUCCACGUGUGGGAGUUUGUAUGUAUCAUAUGAAUAAGGAUCGGCUAACUCUGUGUCAGCAGCAGCGGUAAUACGGAGGAUCCGCGAGUUAUCCGGAUUUAUUGGGUUUAAAGGGAGCGUAGGUGGAUUGUUAAGUCAGUUGUGAAAGUUUGCGGCUCAAACGUAAAAUUGCAGUUGAAACUGGCAGUCUUGAGUACAGUAGAGGUGGGCGGAAUUCGUGGUGUAGCGGUGAAAUGCUUAGAUAUCACGAAGAACUCCGAUUGCGAAGGCAGCUCACUGGACUGCAACUGACACUGAGGCUCGAAAGUGUGGGUAUCAAACAGGAUUAGAUACCCGAGUAGUC
RNAcentral lists this ribosomal RNA (460 nucleotides) under uncultured bacterium. RNAcentral's name for it is "partial 16S ribosomal RNA". It matches the Rfam family "Bacterial small subunit ribosomal RNA", at positions 338 to 795 of the family's 1533-position model. The record is from RNAcentral.